Molecule: ribosomal RNA, 429 nt
Filed under: Gemmatimonadota bacterium
Lineage: Bacteria; Pseudomonadati; Gemmatimonadota
Description: Gemmatimonadetes bacterium partial 16S ribosomal RNA
Rfam family: Bacterial small subunit ribosomal RNA
Source: RNAcentral
UAGGGAAUCUUCGGCAAUGGACGAAAGUCUGACCGAGCAACGCCGCGUGAGUGAAGAAGGUUUUCGGAUCGUAAAACUCUGUUGUUAGAGAAGAACAAGGACGUUAGUAACUGAUCGUCCCCUGACGGUAUCUAACCAGAAAGCCACGGCCAACUACGUGCCAGCAGCCGCGGUAAUACGUAGGUGGCAAGCGUUGUCCGGAUGUAUUGGGCGUAAAGCGAGCGCAGGCGGUUUCUUAAGUCUGAUGUGAAAGCCCCCGGCUCAACCGGGGAGGGUCAUUGGAAACUGGGAGACUUGGGUGCAGAGGAGGAGAGUGGAAUUCCAUGUGUAGCGGUGAAAUGCGUGGAUAUAUGGAGGAACACCAGUGGCGAAGGCGGCUCUCUGAUCUGUAACUGACGCUAAGGCUCGAAAGCGUGGGAAGCAAACAGG